This 235-nucleotide long non-coding RNA is filed under the name Capsicum annuum. RNAcentral describes it as "long non-coding RNA (CANN_LNC011132)". Lineage: Eukaryota; Viridiplantae; Streptophyta; Magnoliopsida; Solanales; Solanaceae. The record is from RNAcentral.
AAAUUCCUAGUAAGAUAGGUUAAAGUUAGUCGUUGAAGUGAUAAGGUGUAAUAUUCUUGAGAUGAGAGCUCUAAAAAAUAUAGUAUAAUGAAUCUGUGGUUUACACUAGUACUAUUGUGUCAUGCUUUAUACCUUGUGAUUUUGAGUAGGCUUGAACAUAGUAAGAAAAUUCAAUUCUGCUCAAACUUUUAUAGAUAGAGUUACUAAUGCCCAUAUGAAGAUUAUAAGUGGCCUC